ACGGAGGGUGCAAGCGUUGUCCGGAUUUAUUGGGUUUAAAGGGUGCGUAGGCGGUACGCUAAGUCAGUGGUGAAAUCCCGCAGCUCAACUGCGGAACUGCCAUUGAUACUGGCGUACUUGAGUACAGACGAGGUAGGCGGAAUUUAUGGUGUAGCGGUGAAAUGCAUAGAUACCAUAAAGAACACCGAUAGCGAAGGCAGCUUACUAGACUGUAACUGACGCUCAGGCACGAAAGCGUGGGGAGCGAACAGG
This 252-nucleotide ribosomal RNA is filed under the name uncultured bacterium. Its description in RNAcentral is "partial 16S ribosomal RNA". It matches the Rfam family "Bacterial small subunit ribosomal RNA", at positions 525 to 776 of the family's 1533-position model. The record is from RNAcentral.